This 480-nucleotide non-coding RNA is filed under the name Morus notabilis. Its description in RNAcentral is "Eukaryotic small subunit ribosomal RNA". It matches the Rfam family "Eukaryotic small subunit ribosomal RNA", at positions 626 to 1110 of the family's 1831-position model. The record is from Rfam by way of RNAcentral. Lineage: Eukaryota; Viridiplantae; Streptophyta; Magnoliopsida; Rosales; Moraceae.
GCUCGUAGUUGAACCUUGGGCCUGGCUGGCCGGUCCGCCUCACCGCGUGUACUGGUCCGGCCGGGCCUUUCCUUCUGGGGAGCCGCAUGCCCUUCACUGGGCGUGUCGGGGAACCAGGACUUUUACUUUGAAAAAAUUAGAGUGUUCAAAGCAGGCCUUUGCUCGAAUACAUUAGCAUGGAAUAAUAGAAUAGGACGUGUGGUUCUAUUUUGUUGGUUUCUAGGACCGCCGUAAUGAUUAAUAGGGAUAGUCGGGGCCGUCCGUAUUCAAUUGUCAGAGGUGAAAUUCUUGGAUUUAUUGAAGACGAACUACUGCGAAAGCAUUCGGCAAGGAUGUUUUCAUUAAUCAGUGAACGAAAGUUAGGGGAUCGAAGACGAUCAGAUACCGUCGUAGUCUUAACCAUAAACUAUGCCGACUAGGGAUCGGUGGGUGUUAUUAUUUUGACCUCAUCGGCACCUUACGAGAAAUCAAAGUUUUUGG